GAUGAACGCUGGCGGCGUGCUUAACACAUGCAAGUCGAACGAGAAGUGAAGACGGAAACCUUUGGGCGGAAGACUUUAUUUCGAGUGGCGGACGGGUGAGUAACGCGUGGGUAACCUGCCUCAUACAGGGGGAUAACAGUUGGAAACGACUGUUAAUACCGCAUAAGACCACAGCACCGCAUGGUGCGGGGGUAAAAACUCCGGUGGUAUGAGAUGGACCCGCGUUCGAUUAGCCAGUUGGCGGGGUAACGGCCCACCAAAGCGACGAUCGAUAGCCGAUCUGAGAGGAUGACCGGCCACAUUGGGACUGAGACACGGCCCAAACUCCUACGGGAGGCAGCAGUGGGGAAUAUUGCACAAUGGGGGAAACCCUGAUGCAGCGACGCCGCGUGAGUGAAGAAGUAUUUCGGUAUGUAAAGCUCCAUCAGCAGGGAAGAAAAUGACGGUACCUGAGUAAGAAGCCCCGGCUAACUACGUGCCAGCAGCCGCGGUAAUACGUAGGGGGCAGGCGUUAUCCGGAUUUACUGGGUGUAAAGGGAGCGCAGACGGCUCUGCAAGUCUGAAGUGAAAGCCCGCGGCUUAACCGCGGGACUGCUUUGGAAACUGCAAGGCUUGAGUAUCGGAGGGGCAGGCGGAAUUCCUAGUGUAGCGGUGAAAUGCGUAGAUAUUAGGAAGAACACCGGUGGCGAAGGCGGCCUGCUGGACGAAAACUGACGUUGAGGCUCGAAGGCGUGGGGAGCAAACAGG
RNAcentral lists this ribosomal RNA (747 nucleotides) under uncultured Moryella sp. RNAcentral's name for it is "bacterial SSU rRNA". It matches the Rfam family "Bacterial small subunit ribosomal RNA", at positions 28 to 776 of the family's 1533-position model. The record is from RNAcentral. Lineage: Bacteria; Bacillati; Bacillota; Clostridia; Lachnospirales; Lachnospiraceae.